Molecule: transfer RNA, 86 nt
Filed under: Mariniphaga sp.
Lineage: Bacteria; Pseudomonadati; Bacteroidota; Bacteroidia; Marinilabiliales; Prolixibacteraceae
Description: tRNA-Leu
Rfam family: tRNA
About the family: Transfer RNA (tRNA) molecules are approximately 80 nucleotides in length. Their secondary structure includes four short double-helical elements and three loops (D, anti-codon, and T loops).
Source: RNAcentral
GCCCAGGUGGUGGAAUUGGUAGACACGCAAGGUUGAGGGCCUUGUGGGAAGAUUUUCCCGUGCAAGUUCGAUUCUUGUUCUGGGCA